CCUACGGGGGGCAGCAGUGGGGAAUAUUGGACAAUGGGGGCAACCCUGAUCCAGCCAUGCCGCGUGAGUGAUGAAGGCCUUAGGGUUGUAAAGCUCUUUCGUCAGGGAAGAUAAUGACGGUACCUGAAGAAGAAGCCCCGGCUAACUUCGUGCCAGCAGCCGCGGUAAUACGAAGGGGGCUAGCGUUGUUCGGAAUUACUGGGCGUAAAGCGCACGUAGGCGGACAUUUAAGUCAGGGGUGAAAUCCCAGGGCUCAACCCUGGAACUGCCUUUGAUACUGGGUGUCUUGAGUACGAGAGAGGUGAGUGGAAUUCCGAGUGUAGAGGUGAAAUUCGUAGAUAUUCGGAAGAACACCAGUGGCGAAGGCGGCUCACUGGCUCGUAACUGACGCUGAGGUGCGAAAGCGUGGGGAGCAAACAGGAUUAGAUACCCCAGUAGUC
Molecule: ribosomal RNA, 440 nt
Filed under: uncultured bacterium
Lineage: Bacteria
Description: bacterial SSU rRNA
Rfam family: Bacterial small subunit ribosomal RNA
Source: RNAcentral